UCCUACAGGGCAUGCUCUGAUGUAGUUGGAAGGAGUCUGGUGAUCAUAGGAUCUGUUUUGUAAAUAAGCUGUAAAUACUGCAAUAAAGUUUGAGCUGCUUUUUAUAGCUGAACUGAAAGGAGUCUGAAGUUUUUUCCGUCUGUUUCGAGCAGACAGCUCAGGAUCGUCAGAGGAGACCAGACAAGAUUGAGACAGGGAAGGUAAUCAAUCUCAAACAACAACUGUCAAGCACAACAACUUUCAAAGGCCUCCCCAGAUGAUGUUAAUCUUUGAAGUGGCUCAUAGGAGGGAGAUAUGUUCAGACAGGUAAACUGGGCUGGAACCGUCUACUUGCUCCUGAAGGUUGUUACUAGGUGAAGUGGCUGUCUAUGAUGUCGCGGGGAAAGAAAGGGAGAACGGAGAAAGGAAGAAAAGAAAGAGGAAAAGAAGGGAAGAAAGGAUAGACCUCCUAUGAAUUUUGGUAUCCACAGCUGCCUAAAGGUAUCAUCAUCAAUAUUAGUAUCAUCAUCUUCAUCACCCAGCAUCGCCAAUUACAAAGAAUUGUGGGAUUUUAAUCCCACAGAAGAAUAAAAAGUGCACUGCUCCUUGAUUUAGAUGCAACAAGUUUAUGCAUCACCUUUAAAAACUGCCAACAUGCCUUUUUUCCAACUUUGGAGUUGUCGCUUCUACCUAUAUAAAAAAAUAUCCAAAAUUAGUCCAGAUGAAGAAAGGCCUACCUCUGUU
Long non-coding RNA from Anolis carolinensis (green anole), 723 nucleotides. RefSeq lists it as uncharacterized. The transcript is spliced from 3 exons. NCBI's taxonomy places the organism in Eukaryota, Metazoa, Chordata, Lepidosauria, Squamata, Anolidae. The record is from RefSeq and is a predicted model, not a curated record.